AAUCUAGAAAAGAGUGUUCUCG
This 22-nucleotide unclassified non-coding RNA is filed under the name Dictyostelium discoideum. Lineage: Eukaryota; Evosea; Eumycetozoa; Dictyosteliales; Dictyosteliaceae. The record is from RNAcentral.